RNAcentral lists this ribosomal RNA (482 nucleotides) under uncultured bacterium. Its description in RNAcentral is "bacterial SSU rRNA". It matches the Rfam family "Bacterial small subunit ribosomal RNA", at positions 28 to 542 of the family's 1533-position model. The record is from RNAcentral.
GUUGAACGCUGGCGGCAUGGCUAAAACAUGCAAGUCGAACGCGAAAGGGGAGCAAUUCCCAAGUAGAGUGGCGAAAGGGUGAGUAAUGCAUUUCUACGUGCCCCGAGGUCAGGGAUAGCUCAGGGAAACCUGGAUUAAUACCUGAUGUGGUCGCAAGAUCAAAGGCGCAAGUCGCCUCGGGAGCGGGGAAUGUCCUAUCAGCUAGUUGGUGAGGUAACGGCUCACCAAGGCUCUGACGGGUAGCGGGUGUGAGAGCAUGGCCCGCCACAUCGGGACUGAGACACUGCCCGGACUCCUACGGGAGGCUGCAGUAACGAAUCUUCCACAAUGCGCGAAAGCGUGAUGGAGCAAUGCGCGUGCAGGAUGAAGCCCUUCGGGGUGUAAACUGCUGUCAGGUUUUAGGAACACAAUGACCAAAGCCAAAGGAAGAGAACGACUAACUCUGUGCCAGCAGUCGCGGUAAUACAGAGGUCUCGAGCGUU